Molecule: ribosomal RNA, 497 nt
Filed under: uncultured bacterium
Lineage: Bacteria
Description: partial 16S ribosomal RNA
Rfam family: Bacterial small subunit ribosomal RNA
Source: RNAcentral
GAUGAACGCUGGCGGCGUGCCUAAUACAUGCAAGUCGAGCGAACGGACGAGAAGCUUGCUUCUCUGAUGUUAGCGGCGGACGGGUGAGUAACAUGUGGAUAACCUACCUAUAAGACUGGGAUAACCUCGGGAAACCGGAGCUAAUACCGGAUAAUAUUUUGAACCGCAUGGUUCAAAAGUGAAAGACGGUCUUGCAGCCACUUAUAGAUGGAUCCGCGCUGCAUUAGCUUGUUGGUAAGGUAACGGCUUACCAAGGCAACGAUGCAUAGCCGACCUGAGAGGGUGAUCGGCCACACGGGAACUGAGUCACGGUCCAGACUCCUACUGGAGGCAGCAGUAGUGAAUCUUGCGCAAUGGGCAAAAGCCUGACGGAGCAACGCCGCGUGAGUGAUGCUUGUCUUCGGAUCGUAAAACUCUGUUAUUAGGGAAGAACAUAGGUGUAAGUAACUGUGCACAUCUUGACGGUACCUAAUCAGAAAGCCACGGCUAACUACGUG